GCGUAAAGCGCACGCAGGCGGUCUGUUAAGUCAGAUGUGAAAUCCCCGGGCUUAACCUGGGAACUGCAUUUGAAACUGGCAGGCUUGAGUCUCGUAGAGGGGGGUAGAAUUCCAGGUGUAGCGGUGAAAUGCGUAGAGAUCUGGAGGAAUACCGGUGGCGAAGGCGGCCCCCUGGACGAAGACUGACGCUCAGGUGCGAAAGCGUGGGGAGCAAACAGGAUUAGAUACCCUGGUAGUCCACGCCGUAAACGAUGUCGACUUGGAGGUUGUGCCCUUGAGGCGUGGCUUCCGGAGCUAACGCGUUAAGUCGACCGCCUGGGGAGUACGGCCGCAAGGUUAAAACUCAAAUGAAUUGACGGGGGCCCGCACAAGCGGUGGAGCAUGUGGUUUAAUUCGAUGCAACGCGAAGAACCUUACCUGGCCUUGACAUCCAGAGAACUUAGCAGAGAUGCUUUGGUGCCUUCGGGAACUCUGAGACAGGUGCUGCAUGGCUGUCGUCAGCUCGUGUUGUGAAAUGUUGGGUUAAGUCCCGCAACGAGCGCAACCCUUAUCCUUUGUUGCCAGCGGUUCGGCCGGGAACUCACAGGAGACUGCCGGUGAUAAACCGGAGGAAGGUGGGGAUGAC
This 625-nucleotide ribosomal RNA is filed under the name Pantoea dispersa. RNAcentral's name for it is "bacterial SSU rRNA". It matches the Rfam family "Bacterial small subunit ribosomal RNA", at positions 558 to 1183 of the family's 1533-position model. The record is from RNAcentral. Lineage: Bacteria; Pseudomonadati; Pseudomonadota; Gammaproteobacteria; Enterobacterales; Erwiniaceae.